UACGUAGGUGGCAAGCGUUGUCCGGAUUUACUGGGUGUAAAGGGCGUGUAGGCGGAGCUGCAAGUCAGAUGUGAAAUCCCGGGGCUCAACCCCGGAACUGCAUUUGAAACUGUAGCCCUUGAGUAUCGGAGAGGCAGGCGGAAUUCCUAGUGUAGCGGUGAAAUGCGUAGAUAUUAGGAGGAACACCAGUGGCGAAGGCGGCCUGCUGGACGACAACUGACGCUGAGGCGCGAAAGCGUGGGGAGCAAACAGG
This 253-nucleotide ribosomal RNA is filed under the name uncultured bacterium. RNAcentral describes it as "partial 16S ribosomal RNA". It matches the Rfam family "Bacterial small subunit ribosomal RNA", at positions 524 to 776 of the family's 1533-position model. The record is from RNAcentral.